GAUGAACGCUGGCGGCGUGCCUAAUACAUGCAAGUCGAGCGAAUGGAUUAAGAGCUUGCUCUUAUGAAGUUAGCGGCGGACGGGUGAGUAACACGUGGGUAACCUGCCCAUAAGACUGGGAUAACUCCGGGAAACCGGGGCUAAUACCGGAUAACAUUUUGAACCGCACGGUUCGAAAUUGAAAGGCGGCUUCAGCUGUCACUUAUGGAUGGACCCGGGUCGCAUUAGCUAGUUGGUGGGGUAACGGCUCACCAAGGCAACGAUGCGUAGCCGACCUGAGAGGGUGAUCGGCCACACUGGGACUGAGACACGGCCCAGACUCCUACGGGAGGCAGCAGUAGGGAAUCUUCCGCAAUGGACGAAAGUCUGACGGAGCAACGCCGCGUGAGUGAUGAGGGCUUUCGGGUCGUAAAACUCUGUUGUUAGGGAAGAACAAGUGCUAGUUGAAUAAGCUGGCACCUUGACGGUACCUAACCAGAAAGCCACGGCUAACUACGUGCCAGCCGCCGCAGUAA
This 515-nucleotide ribosomal RNA is filed under the name uncultured bacterium. RNAcentral describes it as "partial 16S ribosomal RNA". It matches the Rfam family "Bacterial small subunit ribosomal RNA", at positions 28 to 523 of the family's 1533-position model. The record is from RNAcentral.